Nomascus leucogenys (northern white-cheeked gibbon) is the source of this 3010-nucleotide long non-coding RNA. RefSeq lists it as uncharacterized. Lineage: Eukaryota; Metazoa; Chordata; Mammalia; Primates; Hylobatidae. The record is from RefSeq and is a predicted model, not a curated record. The transcript has 5 exons.
CCCGGCCCCGCCCCACGCCGCGCCACGGCCCGCCGGGCCCCGCAAGGAGUUCGAGGGCUCCGAGGCUGCUCCCAUACGCACUGGUGGAAGGAGAGGCCGCGCUCCCGGCUGAGCACGGUGUCACGGGUGCUGCAGCCCACUGCGGAGCAACUUCGGGUCAUCUUCUUGUUACGUGGGGCCCCACCUUUGGGGUUCCCGCGACGGCAUGAAUCACGACCACCUUAGCUCCGCCCGUUGACUCUGCGGCUACGACCUUUAUUUGUCAGGAAAGGCGGGCUUUAGAGGCGCGGGACUUCCACACUUCCUCUCCGAAGGCCCUGCGCCGGUGCCGUAGCCAGUGACAGACCACGUUGUGUCCCAGCAGCCAAUCGGAAGGGCCUGAGUCUGAAGACGUGCACUUGACCGCUCCUCCUUCCGCGUUGGAGGCGGAAUAGUGGGUUUUGCUGCAACCGGUUCAUUUUCCUUCUGUUUUCACCCAUUCUGGCACAAUCCGGCGCCAUCGUCCUUCUUGUGAGGCCAAGCCUGAAAAUGCGAAGCAGAGAGGCAGGACCAAAAUUGAGGCGAAUCCGGGAACCUGCCAGUGGGUCUCCGGGUGCGGUCUCUGAAACUAGAGGAUAUCGGGAGGAAAGGCUCUCCGAUGCGGAGAUAAUGGGGAAGCUCUUGGCAUGGUUGGCUGUAGAUUACAGCCGAAAAGAUACAUAUUAAGGAACUGUACUCUCAGAGAUGUUGAGAAAAGAUACAUGGGACUUGGAAGAUAAUUACUCAAAAUGUGCAGGGAAGGAAUAAAAUUGAAGGGUGUUUUUCUUAGAGAACAUCAUUUGUCAUAUUUAUUUGAUCAAGAAGUUGAAGAUUUAUGUAAUAAGGUAUGGGACUUACACAUUUAUUUUGAUAAAAGGACACAGAAAAGGUCAGGUAUGAGCAGAAAAUUGACAUUUAUUUCAGCCUAAUGUGGAUACUGUACUCUGAAUUAAAAAUUUCUUUUCCUUACUCUUCCAGCUUUUAAAGAUAAGUAUUAUUUCAAAAUAGUAUUUUUUUAAUUAAUAGAUUCAAUUCAGGAAAGGCAUUGGAGGGGGUGGAGCUUUUAACUUUGACAGUCUCACUCUGUUGCCCAGGCUGGAGUGCAGCGGCACAAUCUCUGCUCACUGCAAUCUCUGCCUCCUGGGUUCAAAUAGUUAUUGUGGCUCAGCUUCCCAAGUGGCUGGGAUUAGAGGCGCAUGCCACCACACCCAGCUAAUUUUUUUUAUUAAGUAGAGACCAUGUUUUGCCAUGUUGGCCAGACUGGUCUCAAACUUCCAGCCACCUACCUCAGCCUCCCAAAGUGCUGGGAUUAUAGUCAUGAGCCACUACACCUGGCUGUUGGUUAUCUUUUCUUAGAAAUAAUGAUAUAAUCUUUUCAGCACCUGAUAUUCUUAAAGAUCCAGGGUUUACAAAUGACUGUUAGAUAUGCCAAGGAUGACUAUCCUAUAACUUAAGGAACUGUUCAGGAACAGUAGAAAAGAAGGUGAUAGGAAAUUGGGAAUCUUAAAUCUAAUACUAGUUCUGUCAUUAAUUAGGCUUGUUAUUAUAGGUAUUUCUCAAAUCUAAGAAAAUAUAAGGGGUCUUGAAAAAGUGCAUGGAAAAUGCAUAUCAUGAAAAAACUAUGCAUGGAUUUCAAAAUUUUUGGACCAAAAUAACCUCCUACUAACUUGUUAUAACAUGUCUGAACAGGAUCUAGCUUGAAGCACUAAGAAGAAGAUGACAUCAGUUUGAAAAGAGGCUGUAUCAGAAAAACACGAAUUCUGCUAAAAUUGAAGCAAGAACAAACAUCAAAUAUAUGUUGACACUUGGGUGGAAGAAUGGUGAACUAAUUGAUGCUUUAUGAAAAGUUGAUGGGGACAGUGCUCCAAAGAAAUCAGUUUACAAAUGGAUAACUCGUUUUAAGAAGGGAUAAGGUAACGCUGAAGAAGCCCACAGUGGCAGAUCAUCCACAUCAGUUUGUGAGAAAAAAGUUCAUGGCGUAAUUGAAGAAAACCAACAAUUAACAGCAGAAACAGCAGCCAACACCAUAGACAUCUCAGUUGGUUCACCUUACACAAUUUUGACUGGAAAAGUUCAGCAAACUUUAUACCUGAUAGGUACCAAAACCAUUGCACCCAGAUCAGCUACAGACAAGAACAGAGCUUUCAAUGGAAAUUUUAAAUAAGUGGGAUCAAGAUCUUGAAGCCUUUCAUUGAAAAAUUGUAACAGGAGAUGAAACAUGGCUUUACCAGUGCAAUCCUGAAGACAAAACACAAAACAAUGGUUACCAAGUAGUUCAGUGAAAGCACAAGAGGACUGGUUGAGCGCAAAGGUCAUGGCAACAGCUUUUGAAUGCUCAAGGCAUUUUGCUUGUUGACUUUCUGUAGGGCCAAAGAAUGAUAACGUGCUUAUCAUGGGAGUGUUUUGAGAAACUUAGCCAAAGCUUCAGCAGACAAAUCCCCGAGAAAGACCAGAGAGUUCACCACAACAAUGUUCCUGCUCAUCCCUCUCAUCAAGCAAGGGCAUUUUGCAAGAGUUUUGAUGGGAAAUCACUAGGCAUCCACCCUACAGUCCUGGUUUGGCACCUUCUGACUUUUUGUUUCCUAAUCUUGAAAAAAUUUUUAAGGGCAGUGCAUUUUUCUCAAGUUAAUGUAAAAAGAAACUGCAUUGAUGUAGAUAAAUUCCCAGAACUCUCAGUUCUUUAGGGAUGGACUAAAUAGCUGGUAUCAUCACUUACAAAAGUGUCUUGAAUGCUUUAGAGCUAAUGUUCAGAAAUAUAGUUUAUAUUUUUAUCUUUUAACCAUUUUUCCACAAACUUUUUGAAGUCUCCUUGAAAAGGAGACUAUGUACCAUUUAUAAAGGGGAAAAAUUCUGUGACUACUCAUGUUGACUUAAUGCUGACUUAAUUUUCUAUUUUGUAAAUAUAUACAAGUUGAUAACAAAUUUUGUUUAUAGCCCUUAACAAACAAAUUUGUGAAAUAAAUGCAUUCAGAAACAAACUAAAACAAUGAAA